GCGGGGACUAGCCCGGGUGGCUCGGCGUCACCUGUCACCCGAAACCGUCGGUAUGCGGGGGGCGAAGUUCGAGGACGGUUCUUCCGUACCGCGGGAGUCGUGAUUGCUCUGACGUAGAAGCCUCGUCCCAUGAGGUCAGUGGACAGGGAUCGAGACUCCGGAGGGGGUGGAGACCUGUUGCUGCGGGGACCGGCCCAGGCCCGGAAGGGAGCAGGCUUACCGUGGACAGCUGGCGCCCAUGGGGUCGCGGGGUGGAGGAAGGGCGGUGACGUGAACGCGGAUAUGUGGUCCCAACCGAGAACGUGUCCCCAU
RNAcentral lists this signal recognition particle RNA (312 nucleotides) under Methanomicrobiales archaeon. Its description in RNAcentral is "signal recognition particle sRNA". It matches the Rfam family "Archaeal signal recognition particle RNA". Lineage: Archaea; Methanobacteriati; Methanobacteriota; Methanomicrobia; Methanomicrobiales. The record is from RNAcentral.